Non-coding RNA from Acanthosepion pharaonis, 101 nucleotides. The record is from the annotation of a GenBank genome assembly. NCBI's taxonomy places the organism in Eukaryota, Metazoa, Mollusca, Cephalopoda, Sepiida, Sepiidae.
CAUUUUGAAACACCGUCUCCUCUCCGAUCACCGAAAUUAAGCAACGCCGAGUCUGGCCAGUACCUAGAUGAAUGACCGCAUGGGAAUAUCAGGGGCUGUGA